Molecule: unclassified non-coding RNA, 562 nt
Filed under: Hevea brasiliensis (rubber tree)
Lineage: Eukaryota; Viridiplantae; Streptophyta; Magnoliopsida; Malpighiales; Euphorbiaceae
Source: RNAcentral
CAGGUAUGCUAUUUUUUUUUUGCGUUUCAUAUAUAUUACGGCAUGGUUUUUGAAAAUUUUUUGUUGAUUUGUAAAAAGCUGUGAUGUUGAUUUUCUGCAGAUCUUUACUUUUCAUUUGUUUUAUUUUGUUUCUGGUUAGCUGUGCAUGUUGGUUUGGGUGUUUUUCUAUAAUAGAUUAACGUUAAUUGCAAAUUCUUAGCUGGGUUCUAUGGUUAAGUGUAUCCAGUUAGGUUGAUUGUUAAUUAUUAUUUUCUUGGUAAUUUAGACGUUCCAUCUCCAUGAGAUUUUUAGUUUCUUAUGGUUUGUACGUGUAUGUUGGUUCGUGAUCAGAACUCAAGAAAGCCAUAAUGCACGAAAAUGAGGCGAGGCUGACUGGUUUAAUCAGGCUAAUGUUUUUCUUAAUUCUGUUGAACCAUAGAAUCAAAAUGAGGAAAUGCUUUCUCUCCACAAAGAAUUUAUGGGGAGAAAAAAUAGAGAGAUUUAUUUAAAAUUUCAGUAGAAAGGGGAAUCAUUUAUCCUAAAAAACCUUAAUGUAGGGAAUUUAAGAGUGAGUGUGUGUGUG